UGGGGAAUCUUGGACAAUGGGGGCAACCCUGAUCCAGCGACGCCGCGUGGGUGGUAAGGCCUUCGGGUUGUAAAGCCCUUUCACCGGGGAAGAUGAUGACAUUACCCGGAGAAGAAGCGCCGGCUAACUCCGUGCCAGCAGCCGCGGUAAGACGGAGGGCGCUAGCGUUGUUCGGAAUCACUGGGCGUAAAGGGCGCGUAGGCGGCUGUUUAAGUCGGGGGUGAAAGCCCGGGGCUCAACCUCGGAACGGCCUUCGAGACUGGGCAGCUGGAGACCGGAAGAGGAGGGUGGAAUACCCAGUGUAGAGGUGAAAUUCGUAGAUAUUGGGUGGAACACCAGUGGCGAAAGCGGCUCUCUGGUCCGGUUCUGACGCUGAGGCGCGAAAGCGUGGGGAGCAAACAGGAUUAGAUACCCCCGUAGUCC
Molecule: ribosomal RNA, 423 nt
Filed under: uncultured prokaryote
Description: bacterial SSU rRNA
Rfam family: Bacterial small subunit ribosomal RNA
Source: RNAcentral